Molecule: ribosomal RNA, 596 nt
Filed under: Coniochaeta hoffmannii
Lineage: Eukaryota; Fungi; Ascomycota; Sordariomycetes; Coniochaetales; Coniochaetaceae
Description: LSU rRNA
Rfam family: Eukaryotic large subunit ribosomal RNA
Source: RNAcentral
UAAGCGGAGGAAAAGAAACCAACAGGGAUUGCCUCAGUAACGGCGAGUGAAGCGGCAACAGCUCAAAUUUGAAAUCUGGCUCUUUCAGAGUCCGAGUUGUAAUUUGUAGAGGAUGCUUCGGAAUGGUCCCAGUCUAAGUUCCUUGGAACAGGACGUCGCAGAGGGUGAGAAUCCCGUAUGUGACUGGGUAACCGGCCCAUGUGAAGCUCCUUCGACGAGUCGAGUUGUUUGGGAAUGCAGCUCUAAAUGGGUGGUAAAUUUCAUCUAAAGCUAAAUAUUGGCCAGAGACCGAUAGCGCACAAGUAGAGUGAUCGAAAGAUGAAAAGCACUUUGGAAAGAGAGUUAAAAAGUACGUGAAAUUGUUGAAAGGGAAGCGUUUGCAACCAGACUUGCCUGCAGUUGAUCAACCGGUGUUCUCACCGGUGCACUCUUCUGCAGACAGGCCAGCAUCAGUUUGGGUGGUUGGAUAAAGGCCGGAGGAAUGUAGCUCCUCUCGGGGAGAACUUAUAGCCUCCGGCGUCAUGCAGCCUGCCCGGACUGAGGACCGCGCUUUUAGCUAGGAUGCUGGCGUAAUGGUUGUAAACGACCCGUCUUGA